This 176-nucleotide RNase P RNA is filed under the name Geminicoccaceae bacterium. RNAcentral's name for it is "partial RNase P RNA component class A". It matches the Rfam family "Bacterial RNase P class A", at positions 208 to 367 of the family's 367-position model. From Rfam's summary of the family: Ribonuclease P (RNase P) is a ubiquitous endoribonuclease, found in archaea, bacteria and eukarya as well as chloroplasts and mitochondria. Lineage: Bacteria; Pseudomonadati; Pseudomonadota; Alphaproteobacteria; Geminicoccales; Geminicoccaceae. The record is from RNAcentral.
AAACCCCACCGGGAGCAAGACCGAAUAGGAGCGGCGGCAUCUUCGGGUGCGACCCUGUUUCCGGGUAGACCGCUCGGGUAGGUUGCGCGAGGCGUGCGGCAACGCACGUCCCAGAUGAAUGGUCACCCCUCGAUCCCGAUCGAGGACAGAACCCGGCUUAUAGGCCGCCCGCACCC